GCCGGAGUAGCUCAGAUGGUUAGAGCGCUUGGCUGUGGACCAAGAGGUCGCCGGUUCGACCCCGGCCUCCGGUACCA
This 77-nucleotide transfer RNA is filed under the name Acidobacteriota bacterium. Its description in RNAcentral is "Acidobacteria bacterium tRNA-His". It matches the Rfam family "tRNA". Rfam says of the family: Transfer RNA (tRNA) molecules are approximately 80 nucleotides in length. Their secondary structure includes four short double-helical elements and three loops (D, anti-codon, and T loops). Further hydrogen bonds mediate the characteristic L-shaped molecular structure. tRNAs have two regions of fundamental functional importance: the anti-codon, which is responsible for specific mRNA codon recognition, and the 3' end, to which the tRNAs corresponding amino acid is attached (by aminoacyl-tRNA synthetases). tRNAs cope with the degeneracy of the genetic code in two manners: having more than one tRNA (with a specific anti-codon) for a particular amino acid; and 'wobble' base-pairing, i.e. permitting non-standard base-pairing at the 3rd anti-codon position. The record is from RNAcentral. Lineage: Bacteria; Pseudomonadati; Acidobacteriota. RNAcentral also lists the same sequence under 1 other name.